This 541-nucleotide ribosomal RNA is filed under the name Katodinium sp. 103249. Its description in RNAcentral is "eukaryotic LSU rRNA". The stretch from base 224 to 378 matches the Rfam family "5.8S ribosomal RNA". The record is from RNAcentral. Lineage: Eukaryota; Dinophyceae; Gymnodiniales; Tovelliaceae.
CAUUCGCACUAUCCAAACCAUAGACGUGAAUUUUGCUGAAUGCGACUGCUCGUGUGUUUCUGACCGCGAGUGGAAGCUAUGGGCGAGUGAGUGUAUUCGGCUCUGCACCUUGUCGUGUAUGUUCUGGGUAUUGCUCAUCGUCAUUGGUCCCUCUGCGGGACCUUUCGCACGAAACUGCUUAUUUUCUCGUUCUUGCUGAUAUAGAAUUCUGUGGAGAAAUUACAAUUUUCAGCGACGGAUAUCUUGGCUCGAGCACCUAUGAAGGGCGCAGCGAAGUGCGAUAAUCGUUGUGAAUUGCAGAACUCCGUGAACCAAUGGCCUCUUGAACGUGCAUUGCGCUCUUGGGAUAUGCCUGAGAGCAUGUCUGCUUCAGUGCUUAUUGUACCUUUUCCUGCUGCUUUUCCAUUUGGUGGCAGCGUUGCUGCUUGCUACUGCUGACCAGCUCUGGCAUGCUUAAUUGAUUUCUGUGCUUCUGGAUUUGAUUGAUCAAUACACCAAAUUCAAGCAAGCAAAGCUUUUCAGUGUGUUUCAACACUUCCUA